This 497-nucleotide ribosomal RNA is filed under the name uncultured bacterium. RNAcentral describes it as "partial 16S ribosomal RNA". It matches the Rfam family "Bacterial small subunit ribosomal RNA", at positions 28 to 507 of the family's 1533-position model. The record is from RNAcentral.
GAUGAACGCUGGCGGCGUGCCUAAUACAUGCAAGUCGAGCGAACAGACGAGGAACUUGCUCCUCUGACGUUAGCGGCGGACGGGUGAGUAACACGUGGAUAACCUACCUAUAAGACUGGGAUAACUUCGGGAAACCGGAGCUAAUACCGGAUAAUAUAUUGAACCGCAUGGUUCAAUAGUGAAAGACGGUUUUGCUGUCACUUAUAGAUGGAUCCGCGCCGCAUUAGCUAGUUGGUAAGGUAACGGCUUACCAAGGCAACGAUGCGUAGCCGACCUGAGAGGGUGAUCGGCCACACGGGAACUGAGACACGGUCCAGACUCCUACGGGAGGCAGCAGUAGGGAAUCUUCCGCAAUGGGCGUAAGCCUGACGGAGCAACGCCGCGUGAGUGAUGAAGGUCUUCGGAUCGUAAAACUCUGUUAUUAGGGAAGAACAAAUGUGUAAGUAACUAUGCACGUCUUGACGGUACCUAAUCAGAAAGCCACGGCUAACUACGUG